RNAcentral lists this unclassified non-coding RNA (21 nucleotides) under Chlamydomonas reinhardtii. RNAcentral describes it as "small RNA Cre_0379". Lineage: Eukaryota; Viridiplantae; Chlorophyta; Chlorophyceae; Chlamydomonadales; Chlamydomonadaceae. The record is from RNAcentral.
ACUGAGGCAUGGAUGCUGGGG